UANGCGUGGAAUUCUGCCCUUGGGUUCGGAAUAACAGUUGGAAACGACUGCUAAUACCGGAUGAUGACUUCGGUCCAAAGAUUUAUCGCCCAGGGAUGAGCCCGCGUAGGAUUAGCUAGUUGGUGAGGUAAAAGCUCACCAAGGCGACGAUCCUUAGCUGGUCUGAGAGGAUGAUCAGCCACACUGGGACUGAGACACGGCCCAGACUCCUACGGGAGGCAGCAGUGGGGAAUAUUGGACAAUGGGCGAAAGCCUGAUCCAGCAAUGCCGCGUGAGUAUGAAGGCCUUAGGGUUGUAA
This 298-nucleotide ribosomal RNA is filed under the name uncultured Sphingomonas sp. RNAcentral's name for it is "partial 16S ribosomal RNA". It matches the Rfam family "Bacterial small subunit ribosomal RNA", at positions 112 to 428 of the family's 1533-position model. Lineage: Bacteria; Pseudomonadati; Pseudomonadota; Alphaproteobacteria; Sphingomonadales; Sphingomonadaceae. The record is from RNAcentral.